This is a non-coding RNA of Podarcis lilfordi (Lilford's wall lizard), 115 nucleotides long. Lineage: Eukaryota; Metazoa; Chordata; Lepidosauria; Squamata; Lacertidae. The record is from the annotation of a GenBank genome assembly.
GUGUGUAUGUCUCUCUCUCUCUCUCUCUCUCUCUCUCUCUCUCUCUCUCUCUCUCGUGUGUGUGUGUGUUGGGGAGAGACAGAGAGAGAGAGAGUGAGAGAGUGUCAUGGAUUUG